This is a long non-coding RNA of Myxocyprinus asiaticus (Chinese sucker), 1330 nucleotides long. RefSeq lists it as uncharacterized. The transcript has 3 exons. NCBI's taxonomy places the organism in Eukaryota, Metazoa, Chordata, Actinopteri, Cypriniformes, Catostomidae. The record is from RefSeq and is a predicted model, not a curated record.
GUUAGGUGUAUUGGGUUUGUGUGUGUGUGUUAGGUGUAUUGGGUUUGUGUGUGUGUGUUAGGUGUAUUGGGUUUGUGUGCGUGUUAGGUGUAUUGGGUUUGUGUGCGUGUUGGGUGUAUUGGGUUUGUGUGCGUGUUAGGUGUAUUGGGUUUGUGUGUAAUGUGUGUGAGUGUAGUGUGUGUGUGUGUGUGUGUCUGUUAGGUGUAUUGGGUGAGUAGUGUGUGUGUUGGGUGUAUUGGGAUCAUGUGUGUGUCUGUUAGGUGUAUUGGGUGAGUGUAGUGUGUGUUAGGUGUAUUGGGUUUGUGUGUAAUAUGUGUGAGUGUAGUGUGUGUGUGUGUUAGGUGUAUUGGGAUCGUGUGUGUGUCUGUUAGGUGUAUUGGGUGAGUGUAUUGGGUUUGUGUGUGAGUGUAGUGUGUGUUAGGUGUAUUGGGUUUGUGUGUGUGUGUUAGGUGUAUUGGGUGAGUGUAGUGUGUGUUAGGUGUAUUGGGUUUGUGUGUAAUGUGUGUGAGUGUAGUGUGUGUGUGUGUUAGGUGUAUUGGGAUCGUGUGUGUGCCUGUUAGGUGUAUUGGGUGAGUGUAGUUUGUGUUAGGUGUAUUGGGUUUGUGUGUAAAAUGUGUGAGUGUAGUGUGUGUGUGUUAGGUGUAUUGGGAUCGUGUGUGUGUCUGUUAGGUGUAUUGGGUGAGUGUAGUGUGUGUUAGGUGUAUUGGGUGAGUGUAGUGUGUGUUAGGUGUAUUGGGUUUGUGUGUAAUAUGUGUGAGUGUAGUGUGUGUGUGUGUUAGGUGUAUUGGGAUCGUGUGUGUGUCUGUUAGGUGUAUUGGGUGAGUGUAGUGUGUGUUAGGUGUAUUAGGUUUGUGUGUAAUAUGUGUGAGUGUAGUGUGUGUGUGUGUGUUAGGUGUAUUGGGUGAGUGUAGUGUGUGUUAGGUGUAUUGGGUUUGUGUGUAAUAUGUGUGAGUGUAGUGUGUGUGUGUGUGUGUGUGUUAGGUGUAUUGGGAUCGUGUGAGUGUGUGUGUGUUAGGUGUAUUGGGAUCGCGUGUGUGUGUGUGUGUGUGUUAGGUGUAUUGGGAUCGUGUGUGUGUGUUAGGUGUAUUGGGUGAGUGUAGUGUGUGUGUUGGGUGUAUUGGGUUAGUGUGAGUGUAUGUGUUAGGUGUAUUAGGUUAGUUUGAGUGUAGUGUGUGUGUUAGGUGUAUUGGGAUCAUGUGUUAGGUGUAUUGGGUGAGUGUUGUGUGUGUGUGUGUGUGUUAGGUGUAUUGGGAUCAUGUGUGUGUGUUAGGUGUAUUGGGUUUGUGUGUGAGUGUAGUGUGUGUGUGUUAGGUGUAUUGGGAUCAUGUGU